UGACGUGAUGAUCAACACAUGGAAUCUCGUUCGACUGAUGAACCAGUUGAUGAUAAGUUGUAUUUCUGAUCACG
This is a small nucleolar RNA of Lethenteron reissneri (Far Eastern brook lamprey), 74 nucleotides long. RefSeq annotates it as small nucleolar RNA SNORD30. The record is from RefSeq and is a predicted model, not a curated record. Lineage: Eukaryota; Metazoa; Chordata; Hyperoartia; Petromyzontiformes; Petromyzontidae.